Long non-coding RNA from Marmota monax (woodchuck), 2889 nucleotides. RefSeq lists it as uncharacterized. NCBI's taxonomy places the organism in Eukaryota, Metazoa, Chordata, Mammalia, Rodentia, Sciuridae. The record is from RefSeq and is a predicted model, not a curated record. The transcript is spliced from 3 exons.
GCUCCGUGCCACCCUGAGGUCGAGGAAUCCCAGCCCGUCCCAUUCUGGAAUCAGAGAUGGCCUAGUUGUGAACACCUGUGCUCUGCUGGGGCAGCCGGCCAGCAGAGGGACCUGAGGUCCCCGGGCAGCUCCCAGGUCGCCCUGAACCACCUCAGGAGCUGGAGAAAGCCCCAUGGGAGGAGCUGGAGGGCAGCGCCCACCUGACAGGAGACCCGCAUGCUCCUGAAGGAAGAUCCAGGUUGGCCAGGUGGCCUGCUCACUGCGUGGACUCUUCUCUCUGGCCCUACUGCAAAAGGAUCUCGCUUGGGUUUGUCUGGGCUAAAGCAAUGGCUGCAUCUGCCUAAGCCCCACUUUCCCUGGUGUCCGGCGGUCCUCACGGCCCACGCAACAUGUCGCCAUAGGAAAAUAUUGCCAUCUGAUUGAUUUAUCUCCUCCCGAGAUCCUCCAUUGGUACUUAAUGUGCAGCAGUGAGAGCGGCAUGUGGAGACACCUUACCCAGCGCGGCAGAUCUCCGGUGCUCCCGGGAUGGAGGGCCUGACGCUUGCGAGGCUGAUCUUCUCAUUAUAGCAUGCAGAUGAAAUGUCAUCCGCUAUCGGCUGUGAUAUAGAUCCACAAGAGAGAUAUAUAGAUUUGCGUGGUGCCAGUAACACACAAAUUGGCUUUCUAAAGCCUCUAGUAUUUGAAAUACUCUUUCACGAAUAUAACCAACUCAAAACAGCAUCUAAAAUAUUUUAAAAUUAAUUUUAGUUUAUAUCUUGCAUUUACAGAAAAGAAAAGCCAGGAUUUGCAGUAGCAAUUAAUACUGUGAAUUAUCUGGUUCCCCUUCUCAGUUACAUGUACCCAAACAUGCUCCCGUGUGGCUGUCCACAGCUUUGUCCCACUGUUGGGGUUUUGUGCACUCCCAGGAAGGGACCUUCUGUUCAUUGAUUGGCAUGAGUAGAGUCCAUUAAAGAAGUCUAGAUCUCAAGGAACACGAGGAAGACACCAGUGAGGCAUUCCCAGCCCUAAGUGGGGCAAACGAGAAGGGAGGCUUAACAGAAAUCAAUGCUCUGGCUGGGGAGCACAGGGGGGCCAUCUGUGCCUUUUGCAGAGGGCUCGUGCCUCCAUCAGAAUCCCUUCACCUUUCCGCCCUGUCCCGAGGCCUGCACACUCAGCUUGUGUAAGAGCAGGAGCUCAUUACCAAGGGGAUUAAAUCAGCUGCUUAAAAACAAAAACCCCUCUCCAUUCUGAUAAAGCAACAUUAAAGGUGCUUCAGUACACAGGAGCUUAGAAACUCAGAGUGUGGGCCCAGCCCUGGCCGGGACCUGGCCCUCAGUGACUCAGCUUUAGCACCAGCAAUGAGAUCCAGAGCAUCAGCCACUGAACCCACAGUCCCUGCAGGAGUCCGGAGAGGGUCACCCUGUUUCAUAGAUGGAAAAGCAAGUCAACAGAGCAGCGGGGGUCCGAGUCUCGGCAAUGCCCCAGAGGCGGUUCUUUCCACUCAAAGGGCCACGUCUUCCCUGGAAUAAGAGGCUGUUUCAGGGUCUGAGUGAGGAUGAGGCCACAGCCUGCUUUCCCAGGGAACACCCCGCUGCCAGCCUUCAGCCCUGCCUGCUGCCAGCCUCAGAUGGUGUGACCUGGCGUUGAGUGGGCAGGCCAGCAACGCAGUCUGAGGUCAAGCACUGAGUCUGCUCCCAGUGAAGGAGGGCAGAGCCCCCUGCUCCCCGGCAGCCAGCACAGGAAGUCCCUACUCACUUCCACUAUCUGCCCCCAAGUUCUGCAGAGGGCCACGUAUGCAUGGUGGCUGGCUUUCCUUUCUUUAAAGGAAAGUGCCCUUUUAUUAAUGGAUGUACGUGUUUAUAAUGAACCGGGAUCCAUCUGCCUAGAGUGCAGCACUACCUGUUACCAGUUACACAUCUAUCUAAACAUUGUUCAUAUAAUUCAAUACACGUAAGGGCGACCUGGGUCCAAGCCAUUCUCCUAGAUCUUAAAGCGUCCCCUCUGCAGUGGAUGUGGCAGAGCUGCUCGGGGCUCUGAGCAGAGCAUGCAGCAUGGGAAGGGACACCGAGAGACAGGGAUGCAGGGCUGGAUGACCAGGCCAGAGGUGGAGAUGUCAGUGAGUAUGGCAAAGCCUGGUGUGUGGCACAGUUAAAGGAGAGUGUUAAGGUCGAGAGGACUAGAUUUCCCACUUGCCAAUGUCUUAUUCCUAUUGGCAAAAUGUGCAGUGCGCUGGCACACACCAGUACCAUCAGGGGGGAAACACGUCCAGCAGACACAGGGAGGCCAGGACCUCACACGUCAGCCCAGGCCUGACAGACCCCUGCUGGACAUGCAGCUCAGCAGCAUCAGUGGCCAGCGUUGCUGAGUGUGUUUUGUGACUGCCACACACUGGCCUUGCCUUGUCCAGCUUCACCAUGGGACAUUCUGUUGAGGUACAGGUCAGAUAACUCGAUCACGAAACAGAGCUGAUUCCAAAGAUGUGACCACAGCCUGUCUGUUCUGUGCCCUCCAGACACAGAGCAAAGAUUCACACACAGGAAGCGGGACCAUAGUGACCAUGAUGAGCUGCCGGUGCUCCUGGGCUCGCCCUUCUCCUGGAAAGCUGGUCUGGCCGGGAAGCGCAACACCACCCAGGGUCUCAGACUCUGGGGUUCACUUCUGCUGCAUAUUUCAACUCCCAGGUGUCCCGGGGCUGUUUUCUUCCUUCUUGGCUCCGACAGAGCGUGAUGGGCAGACCCCGUGGCGUCACUCCACCACCCCCUCUGAGGUUGAGCACAGGGGAGGACUGACCUUGGGGUCAGAGCAGAGAGGAGCCCUCCCAGCCUACCCCAAGGCUGUCAUGCCCUUGACCCCGGCAGGGAGGAGGAACCCUGUGCUGUGGGUUGUGACUUCAUGGAAACACUGGACGGC